RNAcentral lists this long non-coding RNA (810 nucleotides) under Mus musculus (house mouse). RNAcentral describes it as "ilncRNA-EC4". Lineage: Eukaryota; Metazoa; Chordata; Mammalia; Rodentia; Muridae. The record is from RNAcentral.
UGAACUUAAAAAUAACUAGUUGAUUUGAGACGGGUCUCUAUGCUGCUCUGGCUGAUGUAAAAUUCAUAAGCUCAAGUGACCUUUCUAAAGUCCUGCCUCCUAAGUAUCUGGGACCGCAAGGUGUGCCACCUUGUAAGUAUCUGGGACCGCAAGGCUGUGUGCCACCUUGUAAGUAUCUGGGACCACAGGCUGUGUGCCACCUUGUAAGUAUCUGGGACCGCAAGGCUGUGUGCCACCUUGUAAGUAUCUGGGACCACAGGCUGUGUGCCACCUUGUAAGUAUCUGGGACCACAGGCUGUGUGCCACCUUGUAAGUAUCUGGGACCACAGGCUGUGUGCCACCUUGUAAGUAUCUGGGACCACAGGCUGUGUGCCACCUUGUAAGUAUCUGGGACCACAGGGUGUGCCACCUUAUAAGUAUCUGGGACCGCAGGGGUGUGCCACCUUGUAAGUAUCUGGGACCGCAAGGCUGUGUGCCACCUUGUAAGUAUCUGGGACCACAGGCUGUGUGCCACCUUGUAAGUAUCUGGGACCACAGGCUGUGUGCCACCUUGUAAGUAUCUGGGACCGCAAGAGGCUGUGUGCCACCUUGUAAGUAUCUGGGACCACAGGCUGUGUGCCACCUUGUAAGUAUCUGGGACCACAGGGUGUGCCACCUUGUAAGUAUCUGGGACCACAGGGUGUGUGCCACCUUGUAAGUAUCUGGGACCGCAAGGCUGUGUGCCACCUUGCUGACUUUCAGCUUUUCUUACUAUCUAUGGCUACAAAUUAGUUUUUAAGUCAAUUUUUCCCCUGUAUGACAACAAACAAC